GUGGGGAAUCUUGCGCAAUGGGCGAAAGCCUGACGCAGCCAUGCCGCGUGAAUGAUGAAGGUCUUAGGAUUGUAAAAUUCUUUCACCGGGGACGAUAAUGACGGUACCCGGAGAAGAAGCUCCGGCUAACUUCGUGCCAGCAGCCGCGGUAAUACGAAGGGGGCUAGCGUUGCUCGGACUUACUGGGCGUAAAGGGCGCGUAGGCGGACAGCUUAGUCAGAGGUGAAAGCCCAGGGCUCAACCUUGGAAUUGCCUUUGAUACUGGCGGUCUUGAGUUUGGGAGCGGUGAGUGGAACUCCGAGUGUAGAGGUGAAAUUCGUAGAUAUUCGGAAGAACACCAGUGGCGAAGGCGACAUACUGGCUCAUUACUGACGCUGAGGCGCGAAAGCGUGGGGCGCAAACAGGAUUAGAAACCCUUGUAGUCC
This 425-nucleotide ribosomal RNA is filed under the name uncultured bacterium. RNAcentral describes it as "partial 16S ribosomal RNA". It matches the Rfam family "Bacterial small subunit ribosomal RNA", at positions 354 to 796 of the family's 1533-position model. The record is from RNAcentral.